Molecule: non-coding RNA, 21 nt
Filed under: Caenorhabditis elegans
Lineage: Eukaryota; Metazoa; Nematoda; Chromadorea; Rhabditida; Rhabditidae
Source: RNAcentral
UUCAAGCUCAAGAGCCUAGUG